GUUUGAUCAUGGCUCAGAUUGAACGCUGGCGGCAGGCUUAACACAUGCAAGUCGAGCGGGGGAAGGUAGCUUGCUACUGGACCUAGCGGCGGACGGGUGAGUAAUGCUUAGGAAUCUGCCUAUUAGUGGGGGACAACAUCUCGAAAGGGAUGCUAAUACCGCAUACGUCCUACGGGAGAAAGCAGGGGAUCUUCGGACCUUGCGCUAAUAGAUGAGCCUAAGUCGGAUUAGCUAGUUGGUGGGGUAAAGGCCUACCAAGGCGACGAUCUGUAGCGGGUCUGAGAGGAUGAUCCGCCACACUGGGACUGAGACACGGCCCAGACUCCUACGGGAGGCAGCAGUGGGGAAUAUUGGACAAUGGGGGGAACCCUGAUCCAGCCAUGCCGCGUGUGUGAAGAAGGCCUUAUGGUUGUAAAGCACUUUAAGCGAGGAGGAGGCUACUUUAGUUAAUACCUAGAGAUAGUGGACGUUACUCGCAGAAUAAGCACCGGCUAACUCUGUGCCAGCAGCCGCGGUAAUACAGAGGGUGCGAGCGUUAAUCGGAUUUACUGGGCGUAAAGCGUGCGUAGGCGGCUUAUUAAGUCGGAUGUGAAAUCCCCGAGCUUAACUUGGGAAUUGCAUUCGAUACUGGUGAGCUAGAGUAUGGGAGAGGAUGGUAGAAUUCCAGGUGUAGCGGUGAAAUGCGUAGAGAUCUGGAGGAAUACCGAUGGCGAAGGCAGCCAUCUGGCCUAAUACUGACGCUGAGGUACGAAAGCAUGGGGAGCAAACAGGAUUAGAUACCCUGGUAGUCCAUGCCGUAAACGAUGUCUACUAGCCGUUGGGGCCUUUGAGGCUUUAGUGGCGCAGCUAACGCGAUAAGUAGACCGCCUGGGGAGUACGGUCGCAAGACUAAAACUCAAAUGAAUUGACGGGGGCCCGCACAAGCGGUGGAGCAUGUGGUUUAAUUCGAUGCAACGCGAAGAACCUUACCUGGCCUUGACAUACUAGAAACUUUCCAGAGAUGGAUUGGUGCCUUCGGGAAUCUAGAUACAGGUGCUGCAUGGCUGUCGUCAGCUCGUGUCGUGAGAUGUUGGGUUAAGUCCCGCA
This 1086-nucleotide ribosomal RNA is filed under the name Acinetobacter baumannii. RNAcentral's name for it is "bacterial SSU rRNA". It matches the Rfam family "Bacterial small subunit ribosomal RNA", at positions 11 to 1091 of the family's 1533-position model. The record is from RNAcentral. Lineage: Bacteria; Pseudomonadati; Pseudomonadota; Gammaproteobacteria; Moraxellales; Moraxellaceae.